AGUGAACGCUGGCGGUAGGCCUAACACAUGCAAGUCGAACGGCAGCACAGUAAGAGCUUGCUCUUACGGGUGGCGAGUGGCGGACGGGUGAGGAAUACAUCGGAAUCUACUUUUUCGUGGGGGAUAACGUAGGGAAACUUACGCUAAUACCGCAUACGACCUACGGGUGAAAGCAGGGGAUCUUCGGACCUUGCGCGAUUGAAUGAGCCGAUGUCGGAUUAGCUAGUUGGCGGGGUAAAGGCCCACCAAGGCGACGAUCCGUAGCUGGUCUGAGAGGAUGAUCAGCCACACUGGAACUGGGCCACGGUCCAGACUCCUACGGGAGGCAGCAGUGGGGAAUAUUGGACAAUGGGCGCAAGCCUGAUCCAGCCAUACCGCGUGGGUGAAGAAGGCCUUCGGGUUGUAAAGCCCUUUUGUUGGGAAAGAAAAGCAGCAGGUUAAUACCCCGCUGUUCUGACGGUACCCAAAGAAUAAGCACCGGCUAACUUCGUG
This 492-nucleotide ribosomal RNA is filed under the name uncultured bacterium. Its description in RNAcentral is "partial 16S ribosomal RNA". It matches the Rfam family "Bacterial small subunit ribosomal RNA", at positions 29 to 507 of the family's 1533-position model. The record is from RNAcentral.